Long non-coding RNA from Tympanuchus pallidicinctus (lesser prairie-chicken), 2315 nucleotides. RefSeq lists it as uncharacterized. The transcript has 3 exons. The record is from RefSeq and is a predicted model, not a curated record. Lineage: Eukaryota; Metazoa; Chordata; Aves; Galliformes; Phasianidae.
GGCACUUACUUUGUUUCCAGGCACGUAGAACCGGGUAGCAUUCUGUUCAGAAAUGUUUAAGGCAUUUUAACUAAAAAUGUAAUGGUGAUUUAUAAUUAUAAGUACCUUAUAUAUAUGGAAGGGGUUGGUAAAUUAAAGCAGUUUCCCACAGCAGCCUCUGGCAGGCUGUUUACAACAAAGAGUAACUAACAUUUGAGGGAACAAAGUGUAAUGAUAGUAGUAAUGAGCAAGGUAUAUUAAUAGCAACAUCUAUAAUUUAUUGCUAUUUUCUCUAUUUUAUGUGUCACUGGAAGCCAAAAUAGUGAUGUGGACCGGAGAAUGAAGGUCACAAAACUCAGACAAGGAAGCUCCUGUUUGGUCACGGUCGGGCUUCUGCAUGCAUACUUCCAGAAUUAUGUGUCACUCAGCAAAGAAUAGAUGUUAUGCUCAGCCUUGGUCGUUUUAAUUAGCAUCAGCAAACUGACCCAUGCCGGUGUCCAGCAGGCAGGGUGGGCCAGAUCAUGUUGCCAGGACUGAGGAGGGGGAUGCAGCUUUCUUCUUGUAAGGCAAGAGAAGUCAAAGGGGAUUUGUUCUAAACCAUAUUUGAGGUCUUCUAUAAUCAGGGCAGAACAACAAAGCACAGAGCCUGCAGAUCUUACAUUUACUAUACAUCCAAAACUUUGCUAGGUCAGAGAAGAAGACGAGGCUCUGAAAUCAAGCCCAGAUUUUUCACUAUUACAUAAAGCAAACAAUUCACAGAUGACACAUUCUCUCAUGCCUCGAUGCCUUUCUCUGGAUCCAAAAGAUUAAUUUCCUCAACUGGACUAAGCUUGUAUUCCUUCACAGUUGUGCUUUCCCAUGCUGCUGGCAACAGCAGAUUGACUAGAAUGAGGAGUGGCUGCUGCAGGGGAAGCAUUACAGAUAAAAACAAAAACACAAACGGAAUGGGUUUGAAGGAUUCUAGAACACUUUGCUGCUAGGAGAAGCUGAAGAGCAGAAAAAAAUAUAAUGAAAGAACAGUAACUCUGAAACUUGGUGACUGCAUGCAUGAGAAACGGUGGCAAUGAGAACACGUGAAAGACCUGGAAACAAAGCAAAGUUUUAUGUGAGACUUUCCCUGCUACCUCAAAAGAAACAUAAGAAAAUUCCUUUUCAUAUCCCUGCAAAAAAGAAAAAGGCUGAAAUUAGAGAUCCAAGUAUUGCACUUUAAAAAAGUACAUACACUGCUUAAGAUUAUGGAUUUCCAACGAGACAGUGAGUCAUUUACUGCAGCACUUCAGCAGACAGUAGCCACCAGGAAAAGCUUAAGAGAGAGAGAAGGAAUCUCAUUCACCAACAGAGGUAACUUUGCCAUUGUGCAAAAGCAGGGACUGUGCUCUGUUAAUGAAGGUGAUUUGACACCCCCAUCAGACUCCUCUGGAUGUUGAUUCCAGAUAUGCAUUUGUCACUGCUGUCCAUUCUGGCAACACACUACUUUGUAGGUCAGUGCUUCCUCCACCAAGUCUUCUUCUAGUGAAUGCCUUUAAUAGGUUUGCUUGUUGCAAUGACAAUGGUUACAAGAGGGGGCCUGAAGCCCUACUUUCUAGUUCUGUUCCCUAGAGGAAAUAAGCAAUCUGAGAGAAGGAUUAAGAUCCACUGAAAAACUAAGACUUCAAAUUUUGAACAUCCUAACAAACAUCAUUUUCCAGCAUUUGGGCUGUCGUCUCAUUCUCUUGAAUUCAAGCGAAAAACUGUUGCUACUGUGACUAUCUAAAGACUUUUUCCAUCUUACAUUUUGUUCCUUGCUUUUGCUGUUUUCAAUUCCCAUGCCAAAGUUUCUCCUGUUUAUUCUAAUUGUUUUAGUGUGUCUGACUCUCAUUGGUUUAUAUGUUUAGUCUUGUCCUGAUUUAGUAUGAAUUAAAACACUGCCACGAUCAGGCUGCAAAUAUGAGUCAGAACAGAAACUAUUUAAAUAAUACUAUGGAUGGUACCCAUCUGGCUUGAUAUCUAGAUCAUAUAGAAUAAUGCUGUUUUUGUUUUCUGCUACUGUUGUCUGGAAUUGCCAAUGAAGUGUUGAUUGUGAUUGUGACCACAAGUAUGUUUUGUUCCUGGUCCUGUUAAGCCAAAAGAGUGUGGUUUACUGCAUGUAUGUACGUGAGGUUGUUUUGAUUAUACUAAAUUCACUUUAAAAAACCCACAUUUUGCCACUGCAGCGCUACAGGACAAUAAGAAAAGAAUUUCCAAUGAGAACAGUAUUUUAAAAGCAAACCACUGGGCUCCUUCUUUUUAAAAGAAUCUUAAGGGACGCUACCCUUUCUUCUGAAUUUGAUUAUUUCUCAAAAUUACAUGUGAAUACU